RNAcentral lists this ribosomal RNA (427 nucleotides) under uncultured beta proteobacterium. Its description in RNAcentral is "bacterial SSU rRNA". It matches the Rfam family "Bacterial small subunit ribosomal RNA", at positions 355 to 774 of the family's 1533-position model. The record is from RNAcentral. Lineage: Bacteria; Pseudomonadati; Pseudomonadota; Betaproteobacteria.
UGGGGAAUUUUGGACAAUGGGCGAAAGCCUGAUCCAGCCAUGCCGCGUGAGUGAAGAAGGCCUUCGGGUUGUAAAGCUCUUUUAGUCGGAAAGAAAGAGUUGCAAUGAAUAAUUGUGAUUUAUGACGGUACCGACAGAAAAAGCACCGGCUAACUACGUGCCAGCAGCCGCGGUAAUACGUAGGGUGCGAGCGUUAAUCGGAAUUACUGGGCGUAAAGGGUGCGCAGGCGGUCUUGCAAGUCAGAUGUGAAAGCCCCGGGCUUAACCUGGGAAUUGCGUUUGAAACUACAAGACUAGAGUGCAGCAGAGGGGAGUGGAAUUCCAUGUGUAGCAGUGAAAUGCGUAGAGAUGUGGAAGAACACCGAUGGCGAAGGCAGCUCCCUGGGUUGACACUGACGCCCAUGCACGAAAGCGUGGGGAGCAAACA